RNAcentral lists this long non-coding RNA (6412 nucleotides) under Sus scrofa (pig). Its description in RNAcentral is "lncRNA (ENSSSCG00015057987.1)". Lineage: Eukaryota; Metazoa; Chordata; Mammalia; Artiodactyla; Suidae. The record is from RNAcentral.
AGAAUAUACUGCUCUUCUUCCCAUUUGACAGAUGAGGAAGUUGAGGCUCAAAGGAGUCACUUGGCCAGAAAGAAAACAGGCCUGAAUUCGAAGCAGGCCUGAGUCCAGAACUCACAGUCCUGACGGCCACACCGAGUGACCUCUGCACAGAUGCCCUCUGUCCCGUCUCCCUUCACCUGACUCCUCUCUGCACACGGCACCCAGGAGGAGCUUUCCCAAGGGGAAGAGAGAGGGGUGGCGGGAUGUGUGUAUGGAGGGCAGGGAUGUAGUCCCAGGGGGAGCUUCUGGAGGAGGGCAGUGGGCAGUAGAGUGGAACGGUGGCUGGAAGCUGGGGAGGAUCUGACCUGCUGAAAGCAAAGGACCCCUCCCACCCCCCGGCACCACGACAGCGCCUCAUCACAAGGCCUGUCAUCCAGGCUUUCCAGGGGCCGCAAGCUGCAUCUGCACUGUUUCUGCGGCGCCCCCGUGCCCCCCGGACACAGACUGGCAAAGAACAGGUGGUCCCACAUACCAAGAACAGCCCAGCGGGAAAGACGUCACCCACAUACUUCCAGACUUUGUGGCAGAGGCCAGCUCCUUGCCCCACCUUUGUUCCUGGCCAGGAGGAAAUGGCAUGAAAUGAGGACAGUUUUUAUAACCUCUUUCGGCUCUAAACCGUGUUUCCUGUGCACUUAGCAGGUCUUGAUGGAAACCAAACAGGUCUCGUAGGCAUCUGUAUGCUGAACGCCUUAAGUCAAGCACCCACGUGGUUCCGAAAACUGCACCAACACAAACAGUCUUUAAAAACAACACAACAUGAAGUGACCAGCGCUAAUUCAAAGAGGCAGACAUAUUUCUUAAAGGUUGAGGAGAGGUGAGGCUUUCACAAGAGCCUAGCUCAAGGCCACAUUUGCAAAAGCAUAAUUGUGCGCUAGCAAGGUUUUGUUUAUCUGGCCAUUAAAAAAAAUUUAAAACAACCUUUGCUUUCAGCUCUUUGGAUAAGCACUGUUUUUCCAGCUGUGGAGUCUGAGGAGGCUGCGAGAGGCCUGCUUUGGAGAUAUGUGUACACACACACACACACACACACACACACACACACUUUUUUUUCCUCAAAAGUUGAAGGAAAGUUUCUGACACAAUUUUGCUUGGUCUAAACUGCACACAGAACAGUUUAUUUAUACUGGUUUAUCACACACCUGUUUGGAUAUGGGCUGUUUUCUGGUAUUUGAACAGACCAUUUCUUGCCAGUGGCUUUAUCUGCAGGCUCAUGCCUUUGCUGCAAAUGUUUCUUAUUAACUCAGAAAGAAACACCAGUUGCUCGGUGAACAUUAUUAGUGAGACUAAAAUAACCUCAUUGUAACUUACUUCUAACAAGUUAUCACUGAGGAGCUGUAUCCCAGGAAUCUGCUUAAAAUACGGUAAAGGCUGUUUCACUCUACUUAAGGGGAAAAAAAGGAUAAGAAGGCUUUUUUGGGUUAAAAUCCUUUAAUGAAAACAUUUUCUUAAGCCACCUGCUUCUUGUGAGGUGGUAUUUCGGGGAGAAGGGAAAGCAAUCCCCUUUGAGAUUGUAGUAGGCUAUUUUAUGUUGCCGGCGAUAGAAGUUCUGGUUGCACGGAUGGCAGCCUUAGAAUGUAGGUGCGAGACGUAACUACUUACGUGACCCUCUCAGAAUCAUUUAAACUGUCUUCUCCUCCCUCAGUAACAUGUGGGCCACAAUGUCUAACUGGGGAUGAGAUCAUUUAAUUCAGCACGUAGUUAUUGAAUAGCUAUUGUGGGUGCGUUUGUGCGGAGAUGAGUGAGACGAAGUCUUUGUUUCCAGCAAUCCACAGUCCACAGUCUGGCACAUGGUAGGUCUCCUUCAAUGUGAGGCAAAUUUGAAUAUUUAUGUGUAUAUUCGCGAAUAGCUAAGUAGAUGCCAAAACUCAUUCUGUAAAGAAAAUAAGAGCAGGUUGGAAUACUAGCUUAAGACACUGUAUUGGUUAUCUAUUAAUGACGAGUAACAAAUGGCCUCCAAAAGCUAGGGGUUUAACCGAGUAAACACCUGUGAUCUCUCAGUUUGGCUUAGCUGGGUGUCUUCUAAGGUCUCUUCUAAGGCUGCAAUCUAAGUGUUGGCCAGGGCUGCAGUCUCAUCUGAAGGUUCAAAGGAAGGGAGUUUUUCCAAGUUCAAGGGCAUGGCUAUUGGCACCACUCUGUCCUUUGCAGGCUGCUGCACUGAGGGCUGCAGUUUCCUGCUGGCUGUUGGCCAUAGUGGGGGGGGGGCGCUUCCUUCAGUUUCCUGGCACGUGGGCUUGCUCAGUACAUCAGGUGGCAGCAGGCUUUCCGCAGAGAGGCAGAGAGCAAGAGAGACCGAGCAAGGUGGGAGCCGUGCCAUCUUGGUAACCUCACCUUGGAAAGGAUCUCCAAUCACUGUCGCCAUAACCCAUUCAGUGGCCAUGAGCCAAUAGGUCCAACCCACACUCAUGGAGCGUGAAUAACACCAGGACAUGAGUGUCAAGAAGCAGGGGUCAUCGGGAACCACGUUAAGGGCUGCCGACCACCCAGCUGGAGACCAAAAUGGCUAAGGACCUGAUGAGGAGCCUCAGCUGUGUUUUAGUGUAACGUGGCUGGUCCCAUCCUGGCUCAGCUCCUGGUGCGGUCAAGCAGCCCCAGGCAUAACUGCAUUAGAAACUUCGGCUUCAUCUGCAGGGGAAACCUGGUAGGCCUGGGCCACAGCAGCCCUCUCCUCAACCAUUUCAUGGAAGCAUCUCCAGAGAGAAGCCAUCAGGACACCUGGCAGCUCCUGUAGUGUCCCAAGAUCUUAGAAUUUGUUGGUAUAACGCAGCCCCAAGCCUGGAGCCUGAGAUUUCCAUCUCCCUUCUUGUCAGCACGCGCUCCUCUUUUUUCUUUUAUAGUCUUGCUGGUUCAAUGGCGAUAAUGAGCAGUGCUUACCUCCUGGAAUUGUUGGGAGGAUCGAAUGGCAAACAGAGUGAACACUAGGUAUUUCGGAUCUCUGAGGCACCAAGCUCUCGACCCUCCCAAACUUACCCCUGCCUCUGGAAAUCCAAACACAUCAGAGAGGAGAAAUGAUCACUUUUUUUUUUAAUCAUUGUCUCAGCUUUUAUUAUUAUUUUUUAAUUGUUAUUUCCCCAAUGCAAUUUUUUUUCUACUGUACAGCAUGGUGACCCCGUUACACAUACAUUCUAUUUUCUCCCAUUAUCAGGCUCCAUCAUACGUGACUAGACCUAGUUCCCAGUGCUACACAGCAGGAUCUCAUUGCUAAUCCAUCCCACAGGCAAUAGUUUGUAUCUAUUAACCCCAAGCUCCCCAACCACCCCACUCCCUCCCCCUCCCCUGAUCACUGUUAAACAAUAUAAUUAUUAGACCAAUAGUCAUAAGGGGAAGUAUGAGCAUGGGUUUGAUGGACCAACCAGAGCUGACUGAUUCUGAUCAGAGCUGGUUGUGAACCCAUAUCCCGUAGUGGAAAAGUCCUCUGCAGAGCCAGGCGCAAAACCUUCAAUGACACCCAGUGGGGAGUGGGUGGGAGGCAGUGGUCCAGGGAAGGCCAGGUUGGCCAGAGCUUGGCACUGGGCGCUCAGAGCCAUCGUUAAGCAUCGACAAUUACAAGACAUUUCAGUGUUUUAACUGGUGAGGAUACCGUUGUGUGCACAAGUCCACUGACGACUGUCGGCUCCGCGAGGGGCCACAUGCAGGGUCUUGAACUUGUCACAGAGGUCGGGAAGGACGUCUCUGAGGAAGAGCCUCUUGUGUAGACCUGGAGGAUAAGUGGAGAUUAUACAGGAAAAGAGACAGCUUUGUAGACCAAGGGAACAGCGCGUAGAAAGACGCAGACCUGGAGCAGGCGGGAUAUAGUCAGAGACCCAAAGAAAGUGUGGUGACGCACAGAGAGCCAGACAGACUGGGGUCACUCUGGGUCACGUGAAGGCUUUGUGCUUCGACUUCACAGGCUCAAGAAGAACCACCGAAGGGAUUUAAGUCAGGGUGUGCCCGUGUCCUCUGUGCAUUCUGAACGCGCAUUCUGGCUGAAGAGCCGAGCACGUCUUAAGCAUUCAUGUCGUUAUGAUUUUUUUCCCCUGUUUUCCUUUGCCCUGGCGAACCCCAAGGCACACGUGGUUAAAGAAUACACGGGUUCUGGCUGCCUGCCUUGAUGGGGACACAAAGUUCCUGGACCUUUGGAUUCAACCCAGCAAAGUCUGGGUUCAAGUCCUCAGAACCAGACAGGCAGACCCGCCCCCCCUGGUUGGAGCAAUAUUUUAAAGAGACAAGCAUGACCACACCUGACUUCUUGGGAGGGGUUCCUAAACAUUGUCACUCGAGACCACGAAGGUGGAAACGGCACUAACGUUAAAGCUGAUGAGCUUCCCCCUGCGUGCUGCUAAAAUCUCCAGGUCCACUCAUGCCCUCACCGAAUCCACAUCUUUUCGUAUGCUUCCAACUAUAAACAUAUCCCUCGGAGGACAGCAUGGACAUUGAGAAGAUAAGCCUCAGGGUGAGAGUUGGUUUGACAAGUGUCUCUUUGGACAACUCAGCUCCCUUAGCUACCCUGAGCUUGACCUCUCAUCUCUAAUACUGGGACAAGGUCAACAUCCCCUCACUGUAGUAAGGAGAGGAAUAUGCAAACUCCUAGGUGCAGUCCCACCCUUGCUGAAAAAUUAGCUGUUUAAAAACACAUAGGUCUCUCUUGGUGAGCCAGCGUUACGUAAUAAACAGCCCCCAAACCUCAAUUUUUGUUGCAAAACGAAGAACCCACGUGAUUCACAAGACGUGUAGGCUGGCUCGAAUGGGCUGAUCCAGGCGGAGUGCCGAGAGGGCUCUGCUGGUCUUGCUGGGCUCGCCCGCACCGCUGGUGAUGGGCUGUGGCUUUGUCUGGAUCCCACUCCAUGCCUCUCUCAUCCUCCCCCCGGAAUCAGCGGGCUCCUCUGGUCACAAACUUUGUGUGGCCGUGGCAGAAAUAUCCAAGAGAAAAAAGGAAGAUGCACGAUAUCUUAAGGCCCCAGGGCCUUGUCACCCUGUCCGUUUAUUGGCAAAGCAUGACAUGAAGCUGAGCAGAAAGUCAAGGGCAGGGAAAUGCCCUUUGGGGGAAGGAAGUGGCAAGUCCCAGGUCAGAGCACAUGCUCCAAAGGGAAAAAGCCAGAAGCGUGUAUCUCGGGGGUUCAGAGACUGGCAAGGGGGCCUGCGAACCAGAAAACUGGGGGAGGUGGAACCUGAGCUUCACUUGAAGGAUAAGUGAGGAUUAUAGGGAUAGAGAGAGCUGGAGUUCCCGUCGUGGCGCAGCAGAAGCAAAUCUGACUGGCAUCCAUGAGGACGCAGGUUCCAUCCCUGGCCUUACUCGGUGGGUUAAGGAUCUGGCAUUGCCGUGUGCUGUGGUGCAGGUCACAGAUGUGGCUCGGAUCUGGCGUUGCUGUGGCUGUGGCAUAGGCCAGCAGCUGUAACUCUAAUUCGACCCCUCACCUGGAAACCUCCACAUGCCAAGGGUGCCGCCCUAAAAAAGACACACACACACACACAAGGAUAGGGCAAGAUGGUGGUGUUCUCGGUGUGAAAGAUACGCAAGGCUGGGAACUGCGUCAGGAGGGAGAUCUGUGAUGCCAAGAGGGUAACUUAUGCAGUGGGGGCUACAACAUGGAGAAGAAGCCCACCGACAGACUCAGGCUCUGAAUGUCCAUCUAACGUUAGGGGCUUAAGCGCGUGGAUGACAGUCAGUGACAUGCGAGGAGCGUUUCAAAGAGAAAGCAGUGGCUCUAGGCCUUUGCUUCUCGAGUGAAUCCCUGCACCAGCAGCCUCAGCACUUCCUGGGAAUUUAUCAGAUUGCAGGAUCUCAGGGCCACCCUCCAAACCACGGAGCUGGAAUCCAGGAUUCCCAGGACAUCCGGAUCAUUCCGAGGCGUGUCGUCAUUUGAGACCCAUGGCACUGGAAGCUCAGUGUAAAUGAAUGCAAAUAAGCAGAGACUGCGGGCACCGUGUUAGGGGAUCCCUAGCAGGAACCUCUGAGCGCCCUGUGUGCCAUGACAAGAGACAUGGAAAGAAGCAAAUGUGGUGGAGGGAGAAGCACCAAGGCCUGACACCUGCGAGGAUGGAGUAAAUAACCCACAGACGACAGAAAGUGGGUGACCCGACCGGGCGUGCUGGUGCCCGUGGAGACAGGAAGGUCAGUGCCUGGGGCAGCAGGCAGGAGGGGAGAGAGUGAGAAGUGGCCUUUGAGACCUGGAGUUUGAAUUUCCAGAAUGGCCAAACCAGAGGGCUCUUCAAAUGAUGUCAUGUAAGAUCCAUGAGGAUGCAGGUUCCAUCCCUGGCCUUGCUCAGUGGGUUAAGGACCUGGUGUUGCUGUGAGCUGUAGUGUAGGUUGCAGAUGUGGCUUGGAUCCCUUGCUGUGGGGCAGGCCGGCAGCUAUAGCUCCGAUUCGACCCCUAGCCUGGGAACCCCCAUAUGCCAUGGG